GUUGAUGAUCGGUGCUUGCACCGAGAUUCAACAUGGAACGAGUGGCGGACGGGUGAGUAACACGUGGGUAACCUGCCCUUAAGUGGGGGAUAACAUUUGGAAACAGAUGCUAAUACCGCAUAGAUCCAAGAACCGCAUGGUUCUUGGCUGAAAGAUGGCGUAAGCUAUCGCUUUUGGAUGGACCCGCGGCGUAUUAGCUAGUUGGUGAGGUAAUGGCUCACCAAGGCGAUGAUACGUAGCCGAACUGAGAGGUUGAUCGGCCACAUUGGGACUGAGACACGGCCCAAACUCCUACGGGAGGCAGCAGUAGGGAAUCUUCCACAAUGGACGCAAGUCUGAUGGAGCAACGCCGCGUGAGUGAAGAAGGCUUUCGGGUCGUAAAACUCUGUUGUUGGAGAAGAAUGGUCGGCAGAGUAACUGUUGCCGGCGUGACGGUAUCCAACCAGAAAGCCACGGCUAACUACGUGCCAGCAGCCGCGGUAAUACGUAGGUGGCAAGCGUUAUCCGGAUUUAUUGGGCGUAAAGCGAGCGCAGGCGGUUUUUUAAGUCUGAUGUGAAAGCCCUCGGCUUAACCGAGGAAGCGCAUCGGAAACUGGGAAACUUGAGUGCAGAAGAGGACAGUGGAACUCCAUGUGUAGCGGUGAAAUGCGUAGAUAUAUGGAAGAACACCAGUGGCGAAGGCGGCUGUCUGGUCUGUAACUGACGCUGAGGCUCGAAAGCAUGGGUAGCGAACAGGAUUAGAUACCCUGGUAGUCCAUGCCGUAAACGAUGAAUGCUAGGUGUUGGAGGGUUUCCGCCCUUCAGUGCCGCAGCUAACGCAUUAAGCAUUCCGCCUGGGGAGUACGACCGCAAGGUUGAAACUCAAAGGAAUUGACGGGGGCCCGCACAAGCGGUGGAGCAUGUGGUUUAAUUCGAAGCAACGCGAAGAACCUUACCAGGU
RNAcentral lists this ribosomal RNA (940 nucleotides) under Lacticaseibacillus paracasei. RNAcentral's name for it is "bacterial SSU rRNA". It matches the Rfam family "Bacterial small subunit ribosomal RNA", at positions 66 to 979 of the family's 1533-position model. The record is from RNAcentral. Lineage: Bacteria; Bacillati; Bacillota; Bacilli; Lactobacillales; Lactobacillaceae.